RNAcentral lists this ribosomal RNA (497 nucleotides) under uncultured bacterium. RNAcentral's name for it is "partial 16S ribosomal RNA". It matches the Rfam family "Bacterial small subunit ribosomal RNA", at positions 28 to 507 of the family's 1533-position model. The record is from RNAcentral.
GAUGAACGCUGGCGGCGUGCCUAAUACAUGCAAGUCGAGCGAACAGACGAGGAGCUUGCUCCUCUGACGUUAGCGGCGGACGGGUGAGUAACACGUGGAUAACCUACCUAUAAGACUGGGAUAACUUCGGGAAACCGGAGCUAAUACCGGAUAAUAUAUUGAACCGCAUGGUUCAAUAGUGAAAGACGGUUUUGCUGUCACUUAUAGAUGGAUCCGCGCCGCAUUAGCUAGUUGGUAAGGUAACGGCUUACCAAGGCAACGAUGCGUAGCCGACCUGAGAGGGGGAUCGGCCACACUGGACCUGGGACACGGUCCAGACUCCUACGGGAGGCGGCAGUAGGGAAUCUUCCGCAAUGGGCGAAAGCCUGACGGAGCAACGCCGCGUGAGUGAUGAAGGUCUUCGGAUCGUAAAACUCUGUUAUUAGGGAGGAACAAAUGUGUAAGUAACUAUGCACGUCUUGACGGUACCUAAUCAGAAAGCCACGGCUAACUACGUG